This 470-nucleotide long non-coding RNA is filed under the name Fragaria vesca (wild strawberry). Its description in RNAcentral is "long non-coding RNA (FVES_LNC002503)". Lineage: Eukaryota; Viridiplantae; Streptophyta; Magnoliopsida; Rosales; Rosaceae. The record is from RNAcentral.
UGCAGGGGACUGCCCCUUGCAAUUGUGGCCAUCGGCGCUGUACUAGCUCUUAAAGACAAGAGAAUUGUGGAUGAAUGGGCUGCUGUGUGUGGCAGUAUUGGAGCUGAAAUUGCGGGAAAUGAUCAACUUGACAGCAUGAAAAAAUUGCUGUAUCUCAGUUACAGAGAUUUACCGUACCAUCUGAAAUCUUGUUUCUUAUAUCUGAGCAUCUUUCCUGAUUUUUACAAAAUUGAGCAUAUGAAAUUGAUUCGGUUAUGGUUAGCUGAAGGAUUUGUUAUUGGAAAAGAGGGAAGGACACCGGAAGAAGUUGCAGAGAGUUACCUCAGAGAGUUAUUAAACAGAAGUUUGAUUCAAGCAGCAGAAACAUCAACUGAUGGGAGAGUAAAAUCAUAUCGCAUCCAUGAUCUUUUACUGGAGAUUAUCAUUUUGAUGUCUAGAGAGCAAAACUUUGCAGCAAUAGAAAAAGGGCA